Magnolia sinica is the source of this 1310-nucleotide long non-coding RNA. RefSeq lists it as uncharacterized. The transcript has 5 exons. The record is from RefSeq and is a predicted model, not a curated record. Lineage: Eukaryota; Viridiplantae; Streptophyta; Magnoliopsida; Magnoliales; Magnoliaceae.
CUAUAUUCAAGCCUGUUUUAGAGAUCAAAACACAAGAUUUGAUAUAUUUAAAUGAGAUCAAAACUCAUUUUCAAGGUAUAUUUAAUACUCAAUUCUACAGUUAACUCCUAUAGCUACACUCUCAAUCCACUAUUGAAAGCCUCCCUAGCCUCUAAACUGCUUCCAUGCUCCCUUUUUCUGGGUUCAUUUCUCCUAGAUAUUUAACUACAUUCCUCUUUCCUUUUGUGAAGAUUACCCUCAAUACCAUGGAAAGCAGGAUACACCCUCAUCUUUUCUUUGCUAGAGAGGUAUUGAAUAUUGAUGGCAUAACUAGUGGGUUUAACUUUCAGGUAAUAUUUGUUUUUUAAGGAAUUACGUGAUCCUUGGGCACACUCCUCACUGGGUCCUCUUCCUUUUGAUGGGCAGCUUGGUAUCUUGAAUGAUACUCAAUCCCAAGUACAUACAACAUACUGGCAUAUCUAUGAGCAAUCCUCCACGAAUCUGAUUAUGUGACCAAGCUAAAGCAGGCCCCAAUUGCGAUGUUUAGGCAGCUGAACUGUCUAGGCAGGCCUCAAUUACAACCAAGCUAAAGCAAGCCCCAGUAGCUCUCAAACUAUAGUUAACAUGUCUUUUAUUCUCUAGUUUGUGAUUGUUGUAGAUGAUGAAAAUGGUGAUGAAGAAGGAGAUCUUAUCAUGGAAGAAUCUCUUACAAGUUUGAAGUCAUUUUCUUAAGGGGAAAUCUUCAAUUGAAAGAUUUUAAUAUAAAAAAAAGCAGUAGGUGGGGUCUCUAGGAGAGCCGUUCAAAGGACUUUCUAGACUAUUGUAACUGAAAAUUUCCUUGAAAUUCAUCUCUUUUGGGCCAGGAAAGGGACUUGCUGUAUACCUAAUCAAGGUACUUUUGGUCCAUCCAUUUCGGCCAUCAGUGUCACUCUAGAUUUCAUACUGACUGUUAGAAGUCCGCCAGGUUGGGGAAAGAAAAGCAAGACUAGUUUGAUCAUUGGGAUUGUAGUUGGUGUUGGCACUCUGAGCUUUAUAUCCAUUUUUGUAGUUUUUAUCUGGAGAUGCAGGAGAAGGGGUAUUGAUGAAGAUGAAGAGUGUCUAAUCAUGGCUGCCAAAGCAAACAGUUUCAGUUAUUUUGAACUAAGGGCUGUAACAAAGGACUUCAGUCCGGCAAAUAAGUUGGGAAAGGGAGGAUUUGGGCCCAUUUAUAAGGUACCUUUUUGUGUUUGAUCUGAAAUAAAAAAGAAACGGAAAUUUAAGAACUAAGGAUGUGUUCGGAAGUUUCCACUUUUGUCAGUAAAACGGGUUUGGCUCAAAUCACAAAUGAGAAA